Molecule: ribosomal RNA, 253 nt
Filed under: uncultured bacterium
Lineage: Bacteria
Description: partial 16S ribosomal RNA
Rfam family: Bacterial small subunit ribosomal RNA
Source: RNAcentral
UACGAAGGGGGCUAGCGUUGUUCGGGAUUACUGGGCGUAAAGGGCGCGUAGGCGGCCGUUUGCGUCGGAUGUGAAAGCCCGGGGCUCAACCUCGGAACGGCAUUCGAUACGGGACGGCUAGAGACCGGGAGAGGAGAGUGGAAUAGCCAGUGUAGAGGUGAAAUUCGUAGAUAUUGGCUGGAACACCGGUGGCGAAAGCGGCUCUCUGGCCCGGUUCUGACGCUGAGGCGCGAAAGCGUGGGGAGCAAACAGG